GUCGAGGGGCAGCAUGGAGAGUAGCAAUACUCUCUGAUGGCGACCGGCGCAAGGGUGCGUAACGCGUGAGCAACUUGCCCUCAUCAGGGGAAUAAUCGCUGGAAACGGCGUCUAAUGCCCCAUGGUGAUGGAAUCAGGCAUCUGAUUUCAUCUAAAGAUCCGUCGGAUGAGGAUAGGCUCGCGUGACAUUAGCUAGACGGCGGGGUAACGGCCCACCGUGGCGACGAUGUCUAGGGGUUCUGAGAGGAAGGUCCCCCACACUGGAACUGAGACACGGUCCAGACUCCUACGGGAGGCAGCAGUGAGGAAUAUUGGUCAAUGGCCGGAAGGCUGAACCAGCCAUGCCGCGUGAAGGUCAGUGCCCUAUGGGCGUUAAACUUCUUUUGUGCGGGAGCAAUAAGGGCCACGCGUGGCCUGACGAGAGUACCGUACGAAUAAGCAUCGGCUAACUCCGUGCCAGCAGCCACGGUAAUACGGGGGAUGCAAGCGUUAUCCGGAUUUAUUGGGUUUAAAGGGUGCGUAGGCUGUGAGGUAAGUCAGCGGUGAAAUGCCCCCGCUCAACGGGGUGAAGUGCCAUUG
This 579-nucleotide ribosomal RNA is filed under the name uncultured bacterium. RNAcentral describes it as "bacterial SSU rRNA". It matches the Rfam family "Bacterial small subunit ribosomal RNA", at positions 61 to 629 of the family's 1533-position model. The record is from RNAcentral.